Pelobates cultripes (western spadefoot toad) is the source of this 450-nucleotide non-coding RNA. NCBI's taxonomy places the organism in Eukaryota, Metazoa, Chordata, Amphibia, Anura, Pelobatidae. The record is from the annotation of a GenBank genome assembly.
GUUUUCCUUUAAGGUGAACAGCUAUACACUUUGUCCCCUGGACCAUUUAUUUAAAAUAGAAAAUUUACUUUUUUGGCAAAAAAAAAGGCCUGACCUCAUGCUAAUGUAGUCUUGGGCUAUUUUUCAUAUUAGCAUCACUCUAUUUCCUGUUCAUCAAAUGUCCCAUGUUCCUCAUACCCAAACAUGUCCUACUCUCCAUAAACAACUACUUUCUAAACCUACCCAUUUCAUGUUUUUAGAUUACUGCUUUAGAGUGUAUGCUUUGAGCAGGGCCCUCCUCAAUACUGAUUUAUAUUGGUCUCAACUUUGUCAUAUUUUCGUUUCCUCACUGUACAGCACAACUGAAUAUGUAAUGGGCUCUAUGGAAUUUAAGCCUAUUGACAAAAAUGUGAAUAUGUAAAUACAUUCUGUAAACCUUGUACACAAAUUUAAGAACCAGCAUGAAGAAAG